Mesocricetus auratus (golden hamster) is the source of this 106-nucleotide small nuclear RNA. The record is from Ensembl. Lineage: Eukaryota; Metazoa; Chordata; Mammalia; Rodentia; Cricetidae.
AUGCUCACUUCAGCAGCACAAACACUAAAAUUCGAAUAAUACAGAGAAGAUAAGCAUGGCCCCAUGCACAUGGAUGAUGCAAAUUUGUGAAGCAUCUCAAAUUUUU